GAACCGUACAAACGUUAUUCGGAAUUACUGGGCUUAAAGGGUGCGUAGGCGGCUUGGCAAGUUGGGUGUGAAAUCCCUCGGCUCAACCGAGGAACUGCGCCCAAAACUGCCAGACUUGAGGGAGACAGAGGUGAGUGGAACUUAGGGUGGAGCGGUGAAAUGCGUUGAUAUCCUAAGGAACACCAGUGGCGAAAGCGACUCACUGGGUCUCUUCUGACGCUGAGGCACGAAAGCUAGGGUAGCGAACGGGAUUAGAUACCCCGGUAGUCCUAGCUGUAAACGAUGAGCACUGGGUCGGAGAGCCCCUCCAUAGCUUUCCGGGCCCGAAGCGAAAGUGUUAAGUGCUCCGCCUGGGGGAGUAUGGUCGCAAGGCUG
Molecule: ribosomal RNA, 375 nt
Filed under: uncultured organism
Description: partial 16S ribosomal RNA
Rfam family: Bacterial small subunit ribosomal RNA
Source: RNAcentral